Molecule: ribosomal RNA, 443 nt
Filed under: Bacillus sp. R-45543
Lineage: Bacteria; Bacillati; Bacillota; Bacilli; Caryophanales; Bacillaceae
Description: bacterial SSU rRNA
Rfam family: Bacterial small subunit ribosomal RNA
Source: RNAcentral
GGCUCAGGAUGAACGCUGGCGGCGUGCCUAAUACAUGCAAGUCGAGCGAAUGACGAGGAGCUUGCUCCUCUGAUUUAGCGGCGGACGGGUGAGUAACACGUGGGUAACCUGCCUGUAAGACGGGGAUAACUCCGGGAAACCGGAGCUAAUACCGGAUGAUAACGAGAAGCGCCUGCUUCUUUUUUGAAAGUCGGUUUCGGCUGACGCUUACAGAUGGGCCCGCGGCGCAUUAGCUAGUUGGUGAGGUAACGGCUCACCAAGGCGACGAUGCGUAGCCGACCUGAGAGGGUGAUCGGCCACACUGGGACUGAGACACGGCCCAGACUCCUACGGGAGGCAGCAGUAGGGAAUCUUCGGCAAUGGACGAAAGUCUGACCGAGCAACGCCGCGUGAGCGAUGAAGGCCUUCGGGUCGUAAAGCUCUGUUGUCAGAGAAGAACAAGU